GAUGAACGCUGGCGGCGUGCCUAAUACAUGCAAGUCGAGCGAACAGAUGAGGAGCUUGCUCCUCUGACGUUAGCGGCGGACGGGUGAGUAACACGUGGAUAACCUACCUAUAAGACUGGGAUAACUUCGGGAAACCGGAGCUAAUACCGGAUAAUAUAUUGAACCGCAUGGUUCAAUAGUGAAAGACGGUUUUGCUGUCACUUCUCGAUGGAUCCGCGCCGCAUUAGCUAGUUGGUAAGGUAACGGCUUACCAAGGCAACGAUGCGUAGCCGACCUGAGAGAGUGAUCGGCCACACGGGAACUGAGACACGGUCCAGACUCCUACGGGAGGCAGCAGUAGGGAAUCUUCCGCAAUGGGCGAAAGCCUGACGGAGCAACGCCGCGUGAGUGAUGAAGGUCUUCGGAUCGUAAAACUCUGUUAUUAGGGAAGAACAAAUGUGUAAGUAACUAUGCACGUCUUGACGGUACCUAAUCAGAAAGCCACGGCUAACUACGUG
This 497-nucleotide ribosomal RNA is filed under the name uncultured bacterium. Its description in RNAcentral is "partial 16S ribosomal RNA". It matches the Rfam family "Bacterial small subunit ribosomal RNA", at positions 28 to 507 of the family's 1533-position model. The record is from RNAcentral.